AUUGGCAACCCUUAGGAGGAAAGAGAUGAAUCACAAGGGAUUGUGGAAUCAUUAGAAAUUGAGGAUUAGAACAUCCGAGAUUAAAAUGUCUCACACGUCAGUGCAGCAGAAUUUCCCAGCGACUUCGGUGGCGGGAGAGCAGCACCUCUCAGGCACAGCUGUGCGGAUCCCUCGGGCCCCACCGACCGCGGGAAACGAAAUCUGAGCUCAGGAAUUUGAACUGCCCCACGCACGUUCGUUCCCGGAUAAAUCUCCUAGAGGACCGUGAUUUUUCCACUUAGAGAUUAUUUAGGGAGAUGUCCUGGAUGGGACAGGUAGACAAAUGGCGGCCCGAGGAAAAUGCAGGAAACUCUACAUUGUAGACGCUUAAGCACCAACUGUCUGGGCCCCGGGGCAGGGGACGGGAGACAUUAUCCACCGGAAACAUCACACCCCCGGGGCUCCUGGCAUUUUCUACAUCAGUGAAUGUGCCAGCGAAGAAGAGUGUGGGGAAAUUUUCUGAACAUAGAAUUCAUAUUCCUGAAACGUUAAGUCGUGAAGUGGGUGCUUCAGCUGUCCCCCAGCUUUAGGAUUUUAACCCAGCUUUGGUUUUAAUCACCAAGAGUUAUUCCUUAUAAUCAAAUCAGCAAAAGCGUUCAAUUACCUAUUACUGGUUGAGAAAGAUUCCGUUCCCCCAGCUCAUUGUAUCGGUUCUCGGACCCAAGAUGUUAAUUAUCGGCCAGGCAUUCACAGGGGGUUAAUAUGGCCCCCCUCGACACCUUGCCUCGUACCAGAGACACCAAAAGCUGCUGCUGAGGGAUAAUGGGGAAUGGGAAAAGCUGGUCAUGAAAAACCUCUUUUAUUCUUACUUGCAAGCUACCCUUUUGACAUUCUUUUUUAAACACUAAAUGGAGAUUACUGAAUUGAUAACUUUUGGGUUUUCUCUGUCACACUGGGGUUUUUUUUCCCCCGUUUGUUUGUAAGGUUUUUUUGGUUUU
Molecule: long non-coding RNA, 977 nt
Filed under: Pan troglodytes (chimpanzee)
Lineage: Eukaryota; Metazoa; Chordata; Mammalia; Primates; Hominidae
Description: lincRNA
Source: RNAcentral